GAAGCUUGUCCUCUUUUGGUCACUUUUCCCCCAAAUAUCAAAGAAACCCUAACCCUAGCCGCUGGCUUGAAAGCAGAGAAGAAUGGCGGAGCACUUGGCGUCCAUAUUCGGUACGGAAAAAGAUCGAGUCAACUGUCCUUUCUACUUCAAGAUCGGAGCUUGUCGGCAUGGAGACCGAUGCUCAAGGCUCCAUACCAAACCAAGCAUCAGCCCUACCCUAUUGCUGUCCAACAUGUACCAGCGUCCCGAUAUGAUCACUCCAGGUGUUGAUCCUCAGGGUCAGCCCCUUGACCCUAGCAAAAUCCAGGAUCACUUCGAGGAUUUUUAUGAAGAUCUGUUUGAAGAGCUGGGAAAAUAUGGAGAGAUUGAAAGCUUAAACAUAUGUGAUAAUUUGGCUGACCAUAUGGUGGGGAAUGUAUACGCACAGUUUAGGGAAGAAGAACAUGCUGCAGCUGCUCUUCAGAAUCUAAGUGGAAGAUUUUACGCAGGCCGCCCCAUUAUUGUGGACUUCUCUCCAGUGACAGAUUUUCGUGAAGCUACGUGUAGGCAGUAUGAAGAAAAUGUAUGCAAUAGAGGGGGUUAUUGCAACUUCAUGCAUCUUAAAAAGAUUAGCAAAGAGUUGAGGAGGCAGUUAUUUGGGAGACGUAGGAGAAGUCGAAGCAGAAGCCGUAGUCCUCAAAGGAAUCGGAAUUAUGACGAGCGUCCACAAGGUGGUGGUCGUGGUUCUGGGAGAAGAGGAGGUGGUUACUCUGAUCAUCGUAGCCAUGACAGUAGGGGCAGGAGGCCGAGAAGUAGGAGUCCUGGACGAAGAGGAGCGGGGCGUAGCAGAAGCCCUGGAGGGAAGAGAAACCGAAGUCCAGUUAGGGAAGGGAGUGCUGAAAGAAGGGCAAAGAUCGAACAAUGGAACAGAGAAAAAGAACAAUCAAAAACAGGUCCUAAAACUGCUUCCAGUAACGAAAAUAAUGAUGGCAUCAAUGAUGAUGGUGCUCCACAGAAUGGAGACCAUUACUAUGAACCGCAUCAGGAGAAGCAGCCGCAGCAAGAUGAUGGAGGUUAUGAUUACUGAUCAAAGUGGAUUUGUCUGGAGUACAGGGUACAGGUUGACCGGCCAAAUCUUAAUUUCUACUUUUCUCCUCGUUACCCCCCUUUCCUUUUUAAGGAAAUUGAAUAAAGAUUACAGGGGAAGACCACGAGAGGAUCUCUCACUAGCUGCUUAUUCCCUGAAUGCAUACAUAAUACAUCAUCCUUCUCUUUUCCUAUGGCCAAGUUAUCCAGGUUGUAUUUAUACUUUAAGAGCAGAUGGGGGGCUGUGAACAUGUUUUGCAGGUUCAGGUCAAGGAUGGGUCCUUAUUUUUUGCCGUUUACCCUUAUAUUUUUAUACAGGUCGUCUUCUCCUUCUCCAUCUCCAUCUCCAUCUCGAGGGCGCGUUGAAAGUGAUCGACCACCAGAUGGGUUCCAUUUGUGGUGUAGCAGCAAGCGAUUACAAGUUAAUUAGCGUAUUGCGAAUAUUUUGUUGUUGAUGUUUCUGAGGACUUGUAUGUUAUUUGCUUCAUUUCAAUCAACAAUUUAUAUGUAUGUGAUGAUGGGGAACAAUUUUACUAUUAAAUUCACUGCUCAAUUUCAGUUGUUUUA
This is an RNA transcript of Cynara cardunculus var. scolymus (artichoke), 1632 nucleotides long. It is a transcript of the gene named splicing factor U2af small subunit B-like, with no coding region annotated. The transcript has 8 exons. NCBI's taxonomy places the organism in Eukaryota, Viridiplantae, Streptophyta, Magnoliopsida, Asterales, Asteraceae. The record is from RefSeq and is a predicted model, not a curated record.